This 519-nucleotide ribosomal RNA is filed under the name uncultured Latescibacterota bacterium. RNAcentral describes it as "bacterial SSU rRNA". It matches the Rfam family "Bacterial small subunit ribosomal RNA", at positions 355 to 864 of the family's 1533-position model. The record is from RNAcentral. Lineage: Bacteria; Pseudomonadati; Candidatus Latescibacterota.
UCGAGAGGCUUCGGCAAUGGGGGAAACCCUGACCGAGCGACGCCGCGUGGGGGAUGAAGGCCCUUGGGUUGUAAACCCCUUUCAGUUGGGAAGAAACUAGGUCGGGUGAACAAUCCGAUCUGUUGACGGUACCAACAGAAGAAGCUCCGGCUAACUCCGUGCCAGCAGCCGCGGUAAUACGGGGGGAGCGAGCGUUGUUCGGAAUUACUGGGCGUAAAGGGCGUGUAGGCGGCACGGUAAGUGAGAUGUGAAAUCCCCCGGCUUACCCGGGGAACGGCAUCUCAUACUGCCGAGCUUGAGUGCGGAAGAGGAUGGGGGAAUUCCUGGUGUAGCGGUGAAAUGCGUAGAUAUCAGGAGGAACACCGGUGGCGAAGGCGCCCAUCUGGUCCGUUACUGACGCUGAGGCGCGAAAGCUAGGGGAGCGAACGGGAUUAGAUACCCCGGUAGUCCUAGCCGUAAACGGUGGGCACUAGGUGUUGGAGGCAUCGACCCUUCCAGUGCCGCAGCUAACGCAUUAAG